This 433-nucleotide ribosomal RNA is filed under the name uncultured bacterium. RNAcentral's name for it is "bacterial SSU rRNA". It matches the Rfam family "Bacterial small subunit ribosomal RNA", at positions 29 to 509 of the family's 1533-position model. The record is from RNAcentral.
AACGAACGCUGGCGGCAGGCCUAAUACAUGCAAGUCGAACGCACCGCAAGGUGAGUGGCAGACGGGUGAGUAACGCGUGGGAACCUUCCUAGUAGUACGGAAUAACUCCGGGAAACCGGUGCUAAUACCGUAUAAGCCCUCCGGGGGAAAGAUUUAUCGCUACUAGAUGGGCCCGCGUCGGAUUAGCUUGUUGGUGAGGUAAUGGCUCACCAAGGCUUCGAUCCGUAGCUGGUCUGAGAGGANGAUCAGCCACACUGGGACUGAGACACGGCCCAGACUCCUACGGGAGGCAGCAGUAGGGAAUAUUGGACAAUGGGCGAAAGCCUGAUCCAGCCAUGCCGCGUGAGUGAAGAAGGCCUUUAGGGUUGUAAAGCUCUUUUGGCGGGAAGAUAAUGACGGUACCCGCAGAAUAAGCUCCGGCUAACUUCGUGCC